GGAGCUGGGUUCGACCGCUGGGGCUGCGGUUGGGUAAGCGCCGUCGCUCCGAGGGGCGUGUUGAGCGAGGCUUUCGCGGGCGUGAGCGGGGGAGGGGGGACCGUUGAAGUCCUGCGCCGCGCCCGCAGGAAGCUGCUUUAAUGGCUAAGUCGGCUUGGUACCCUGCUCUUGGCUGGGACGGAUCCGUAAGGCCAUGUGGCUCCACUUGAAAUGUGUAGAUGUGGAAACUGAAGCCCAGAGAGGGUAUGGAACUUGCCCAAAGUCACACAGCCGGUUAGCGGCUUGGUAAGGAAUGGGUUCAGGAGCCUAGAGGGUAUGGAACUUGUCCAAGGUCGUACAGCUGGUUAGUGGCUUGAUAAGCUCAAGCUCUCCUGACUGCCGUUGUCCCUACAAGCAGCUUUCUCUCCAAGGAGUCCCCUAGGCCUGCUUAUAUAGGGCUUGAGACCUGUACUAAGUCUGACUUGCUUAGGGGUGAGCUAAGGGAAUCCUACACUUAGACACCCCAUCCUUGACAGAAUGGAAAUGCUUCACCCUGUAAAGGCUCAACCUCGAACCAGAAAGAAUGUGUGUACAGGCAUAAAGGAUCGUGGUUCUUGACCUGUUUUAGUUCUGAACUCCUGAAGAAACUCAUGAAUGCCUUUUCUUAGCAAAAUGCAUAUAAAGAAAAUGUGGGCCGGAUGCGGUGGCUGAUGCCUGUAAUCCCAGCACUUUGGGAGGCCGAGCGGGGCGGAUCACGAGUCGGAGACCAUCCUGGCCAACAUGGUGAAACCCCGUCUCUACUAAAAUACAAAAAAAUAGCCCGGCGUGGUGGCGCAUGCCUAUAGUCCCAGCUACUCCUGAGGCCGAGGCAGGACGAUCUCUUGAACCCUGGAGGCAGAGGUUGCAGUGAGCCGAUAUCGCGCUCCGUCUCAAAGAAAAGAAAAAAAUGUGCAUACAGUAUCUUGACUUUCUUUGACAUUGAUGGGGUUUCACCACGUUGGCCAGGCUGACUUCAAACUCCUAACUUCAAGUGAUCCACCCGCCUCGGCCUCCCAAAGUGCUGGGAUUACAGGUGUGAGUCACCGCGCCUAACCUAUACAAUUUUGAAAAAGGCAGGCAUGGUGGCAUGUACUUCAGGAGGGUGAGGCAGGAGGGUUACUUGAGGUCAGGAGUUCAAGGCUUCAGUGACCUAUGAUCCUGCACUCCAGCCUGGGUGACAGCUGGACCCUGUGGCUGAAGUAAAAUGCUGAGAAAAUGAAAGUUUUGCAGCAAAGUUCCAAUCGAACAUAAAAUCCUUACCAAAAUCAAAAUGAACUGACUUUAGUUGAACUAAAGUUACUGAUGAUGCUGUUUAGUUCCCAUCAAAAGUACAUUCAAUAAAUGCUGGUGAGGUACUGGAGCUUGAGUGAUGAGCACAGACUCCAGAAAUUGAGUGCCUGAGUUCCUAUCCCAGCUCUACCACUUCUUAGUUUGUGAGUUAACUUUCCUCAAUGUAAAAUGGGACUAUUAAUUGUCCUUACUAUGUAGGGACAAAUGGGGAGGUCCUAAGUGAGUUAAGACCUGGUGAAUGGGCUGAGUGCAGUGGCUCAUGCCUAUAAUCACAGUGCUUUGGGAGGCUGAGGCUGGAGGAUCACUUGAGCCCAGGAGUUUGAGGCCAGCCUGGCCAACAUGGUGAAACCUCAUCUGUACUUAAUACAAAAAUUAGCUGGGCCUGGUGGCAAGAGCCUAUAAUCCCAGCUACUUGGGAGGCUAAGGCAGGAGAAUCACUUGAACCCAGGAGGUGGAGAUUGCAGCAAGCCGAGAUCACACCACUGCACUCCAGACUGGGUAACGCAGCUCAAAAAAAAAAAGAAAAAAGAAAAA
Long non-coding RNA from Macaca fascicularis (crab-eating macaque), 1842 nucleotides. The record is from Ensembl. NCBI's taxonomy places the organism in Eukaryota, Metazoa, Chordata, Mammalia, Primates, Cercopithecidae.